GCGGAUGUGGCGGAAUUGGCAGACGCGCUAGACUUAGGAUCUAGUGGAGCAAUCCGUAGGGGUUCGAGUCCCCUCUUCCGCA
Molecule: transfer RNA, 82 nt
Filed under: Ignavibacteriaceae bacterium
Lineage: Bacteria; Pseudomonadati; Ignavibacteriota; Ignavibacteria; Ignavibacteriales; Ignavibacteriaceae
Description: tRNA-Leu
Rfam family: tRNA
About the family: Transfer RNA (tRNA) molecules are approximately 80 nucleotides in length. Their secondary structure includes four short double-helical elements and three loops (D, anti-codon, and T loops). Further hydrogen bonds mediate the characteristic L-shaped molecular structure. tRNAs have two regions of fundamental functional importance: the anti-codon, which is responsible for specific mRNA codon recognition, and the 3' end, to which the tRNAs corresponding amino acid is attached (by aminoacyl-tRNA synthetases). tRNAs cope with the degeneracy of the genetic code in two manners: having more than one tRNA (with a specific anti-codon) for a particular amino acid; and 'wobble' base-pairing, i.e. permitting non-standard base-pairing at the 3rd anti-codon position.
Source: RNAcentral